UACGGGAGGCAGCAGUGGGGAAUAUUGGGCAAUGGGCGAAAGCCUGACCCAGCAACGCCGCGUGAAGGAAGAAGGUCUUCGGAUUGUAAACUUCUUUUAUGAGGGACGAAGGACGUGACGGUACCUGCAUGAAUAAGCCACGGCUAACUACGUGCCAGCAGCCGCGGUAAU
RNAcentral lists this ribosomal RNA (171 nucleotides) under uncultured rumen bacterium. Its description in RNAcentral is "partial 16S ribosomal RNA". It matches the Rfam family "Bacterial small subunit ribosomal RNA", at positions 340 to 524 of the family's 1533-position model. The record is from RNAcentral.